Molecule: ribosomal RNA, 525 nt
Filed under: uncultured Alphaproteobacteria bacterium
Lineage: Bacteria; Pseudomonadati; Pseudomonadota; Alphaproteobacteria
Description: bacterial SSU rRNA
Rfam family: Bacterial small subunit ribosomal RNA
Source: RNAcentral
UCUUCGGACCAAAGAUUUAUCGCCCAAGGAUGAGCCCGCGUAGGAUUAGGUAGUUGGUGGGGUAAUGGCCUACCAAGCCGACGAUCCUUAGCUGGUCUGAGAGGAUGAUCAGCCACACUGGGACUGAGACACGGCCCAGACUCCUACGGGAGGCAGCAGUGGGGAAUAUUGGACAAUGGGCGAAAGCCUGAUCCAGCAAUGCCGCGUGAGUGAUGAAGGCCUUAGGGUUGUAAAGCUCUUUUACCAGGGAUGAUAAUGACAGUACCUGGAGAAUAAGCUCCGGCUAACUCCGUGCCAGCAGCCGCGGUAAUACGGAGGGAGCUAGCGUUGUUCGGAAUUACUGGGCGUAAAGCGCGCGUAGGCGGUUACUCAAGUCAGAGGUGAAAGCCCGGGGCUCAACCCCGGAACUGCCUUUGAAACUAGGUGACUAGAAUCUUGGAGAGGUCAGUGGGAAUUCCGAGUGUAGAGGUGAAAUUCGUAGAUAUUCGGAAGAACACCAGUGGCGAAGGCGACUGACUGGACAAG